This 343-nucleotide transfer-messenger RNA is filed under the name Christensenellales. Its description in RNAcentral is "HGM11368 sp900772745 Standard tmRNA". It matches the Rfam family "transfer-messenger RNA". From Rfam's summary of the family: Bacterial tmRNA, also known as 10Sa RNA or SsrA, is named for its dual tRNA and mRNA-like properties. Its role is to liberate the mRNA from a stalled ribosome. Lineage: Bacteria; Bacillati; Bacillota; Clostridia. The record is from RNAcentral. RNAcentral also lists the same sequence under 1 other name.
GGGGAUGUUUCGGAUUCGACAGGGAAACAGACGACACGGUAAGCAUACCGAAGGCUCGGCUUCGUAAAAACGGAAAAUAAAUUUAAACGCAAAAAAUAACACAGUUGCUAUUGCUGCUUAAUUAGCAUAGCUGUCGCCUAAGUUCUCCACGCACUUAGAUACGGCAUCAACCAGUGGAAAAGGGCAGUGCGGAGCGUCCCGAACGCAUUGCAAGACAAGGGACUUGUUUGUGGAAGCUUUGUUGCUUUGACUCCCCCAAAGACCUACCCAAAGUAAACUAAGUAUGUAGAAAGCCUUGUAAGAAUUUUUUUGGACGCGGGUUCGACUCCCGCCAUCUCCACCA